CAGCCGCCGCGGGAAUACGUAGGUGGCAAGCGUUGUCCGGAAUUAUUGGGCGUAAAGCGCGCGCAGGCGGCCUAUCCAGUCUGUCUUAAAAGUGCGGGGCUCAACCCCGUGAUGGGAAAGAAACUAUGUGUCUUGAGUACAGGAGAGGAAAGCGGAAUUCCCAGUGUAGCGGUGAAAUGCGUAGAUAUUGGGAGGAACACCAGUGGCGAAGGCGGCUUUCUGGACUGCAACUGACGCUGAGGCUCGAAAGCCAGGGGAGCGAACGGGAUUAGAUACCCCAGUAGUCCCUGUCUCUUAUACC
RNAcentral lists this ribosomal RNA (301 nucleotides) under uncultured bacterium. Its description in RNAcentral is "partial 16S ribosomal RNA". It matches the Rfam family "Bacterial small subunit ribosomal RNA", at positions 509 to 808 of the family's 1533-position model. The record is from RNAcentral.